This is a long non-coding RNA of Cavia porcellus (domestic guinea pig), 2432 nucleotides long. RefSeq lists it as uncharacterized. The record is from RefSeq and is a predicted model, not a curated record. The transcript has 4 exons. NCBI's taxonomy places the organism in Eukaryota, Metazoa, Chordata, Mammalia, Rodentia, Caviidae.
CUGGAAGGGUUUAUGUGACGCCCCCACGCCUUCCUGCAAUUUCUCUCAGCGCCCAGGAUGUGAGCAAUUUUUCUUCCUAGCGCUCCACCUCUCCGCCACCCCCUCACCAUGCCCCCCACUCCCACCAAGCCCCUGCCACAAAGUCACGCCCCAAACACACCCCUCACCACGCCCCCUCCCCGCCCCUUGGAGUCUGCUGACUGCGAACUGAAAUGUGAGCCAAAAUAACCUCUCUUCUAAGUUGCAAGAGUGAGGUUUUGUGUCUCAACAAUGAGAAAGGGACCUAAACAGGGAAAGAGAAAUAGGAACUAAGGGCAGGAGGUUGAGGCCAGAAGACCUGCAGUGGCAAGAGAGUGAGAGGGUCCUGAGGCUGGCGGGCCCUCCUUCCUCCCGGACCCCCCUCCUGCCAGGCAGCAGGGGCACAGCCCAGGGGUCACUGCCGUGGCCUCCCCUGAGCAGGCUGAGUGAGCUGGUUCUGAAGAACUCCAUCAUGAAACAGACUUUCGUGAUCCGAAGAGUCUCCUUGUUCCAGUGGGUACCGAACACGAGGGACUUCUAAGGCCCAUAUAUUUAAGCAUAAAAGUGAAUAUUUAUACAAAUGUAGGGUAGCUGGGCCUAAAUUGCACAGCCAAGUGCCUCACCUCAGGGCGUAAGCUGCGGGGAGCUGGGGAGCCUCCAAGCAGGACUCCUCACCCAUCCAGCUGGGUUGUCUGCCAUAAUGACACAUUAUGAUUAUGUCGGAAUUGGCGCACUUGUGACUCAAUGAACUGAUGCAAAUUGAACAUGAGCAAAAAGAUCGUAUAACUUUUAUAGGUGAGGGGAAUUAGAUGUCUUAUUUUUCUAAUUUAAUACUGCAGUGGGAACAUUCUCUGGGGAGGAUGGAUAAAGCGAUGGCUCAUUGAUCACCAGGCUGCAUUCAAGGGUGGAGGGGAGACAUCAGGUUAGUUUUCUUCUCUGUCAUGUUGUGGGAUGGAAAAUCGGCAGGAAAAAUCAUGUAUAACAAGAAUGAAUCCAAGUGUCACAGUGGUGUCACAAAACUCCACGGGUAUUCUGGACUUGGUGGCUGCGUCCGGGCGGUGAGCUCCAACAGGGUGUGCUGUGAUACACACACACUGUCAGGGUGGCAGAACGCAUUGGGCUAAAUCCCAGGUGUUAUGGAUCAAAAACUGGUGGUCAACUUAAAGCCAGUGGAAUCAAAGCAUGGUGCUGAGUGUAGAUGUCCCACCUGAGGAAAGUUGCAUAAAUAGAGACGUGGAGAAUGAGAAGAGAGGCAUUGAGGUGUUGUGUGUUCUGCUAAGUGUUGCUGUUAGGAGCCAUUGGUUCUCCUGAAGGAGCUUGUCAUGCUGGCUUCCCCAGUGUGAGUUCGACCACUGUCUUCGGAGGAGCUCAGGACGUUGUUGCAGAAAGGGCCCCACACACCAAGAGCCACUUACUUGCCUGCUGAAGCUUCAAAUUCUACUGUCACGAUUCAGAGCUACACUUCCUUUGUUGAGGAAAACUGCAGACAGACAACAGGGCAUCCACGCUGCGCUGACGUCAUUCUGAGCAGUGGCGGUGUGGAAGAUGGAAGAUUAGCGUUGAUUCACAUGCAAGAUGCAGAAGUGAACGCCCAUGUGCAAGAGAUGACCAUUUCACACUGAUGUGGGGCUGAGACUGCAGGGGUGCUGUGGAUACUGGUUCCCGGUACUCUGGCAGUCAGGGCUUGGGGGCACUGCAUGCAGCGUGCAGCUGAGUGCACACAGGACGCAGGACUGAAUUUCAGCUGCUCCUCUCAGAAAUAACUCAGCUCCCCAAAGAUCAAAUCCACCAAUUACUGAUGAGUUGAAAAAUUUGCAGCACGAAGGACUUAUGUUUGAUGGGCUCAGUUCUCUUUUACCUGAUGGAACCCACUCAGCUAAGAGACACUGAUGGCACAUCCCUGUGUGUUAGGUUUAGAAGGGAAAUUCUGACAUGAGGGUAAGGGUUUAAUUUGCUGCUGGUGUGGAGGGUUUAGCUGAUAUAUAUCUCUCCAAAGUAUCCCUCAGUCUAAAGAAUACUAUCAUUAAUGUAUUAUAUCUAUAUAUUCCCCAGCUAUACAUUGAUAAAAGUGGGAGUUUCUGAUCAUACAAAAUCAUUGUUCAUUUGGUAAUAAUUCUUUUGGUAAUUGGUAAUAAUUCUUUUUGGUUACUAUAAUUUUAAUGUGCCCAAUUCUUAUUCUUGUAAGUGGGCAUUGAGUUCUUUAUUCCUUUUGAAAACUUAACUAUUUAUUUCCAUUGGAGAGUCUCAUUGUUUGAUAAUACCUAAGAUAACAGAUAAUUUAAAAAUUUUUAUUGUUUUGUGUUCUCUCAUAGCUGGUAUUUUGCUAUUUUAAUAUUAAUUCAUGUUAAUUAAUAGAGGUUUGACUACUAUCCUUUAACUAGUAGACAUUUAUUAAAAUUAUCACCAUGGAUCAA